This 458-nucleotide ribosomal RNA is filed under the name Bifidobacterium thermophilum. RNAcentral describes it as "bacterial SSU rRNA". It matches the Rfam family "Bacterial small subunit ribosomal RNA", at positions 39 to 504 of the family's 1533-position model. The record is from RNAcentral. Lineage: Bacteria; Bacillati; Actinomycetota; Actinomycetes; Bifidobacteriales; Bifidobacteriaceae.
CGCUGGGGGGCUUACACAUGCAAGUCGAACGGGAUCCUGCAGCUUGCUUGCGGGGUGAGAGUGGCGAACGGGUGAGUAUGCGUGACCAACCUGCCCCAUGCUCCGGAAUAGCUCCUGGAAACGGGUGGUAAUGCCGGAUGUGCCGGGCUCCUGCAUGGGGGUCCGGGAAAGCUCUGGCGGCGUGGGAUGGGGUCGCGUCCUAUCAGCUUGUUGGCGGGGUGAGGGCCCACCAAGGCUUCGACGGGUAGCCGGCCUGAGAGGGCGACCGGCCACAUUGGGACUGAGAUACGGCCCAGACUCCUACGGGAGGCAGCAGUGGGGAAUAUUGCACAAUGGGCGCAAGCCUGAUGCAGCGACGCCGCGUGCGGGAUGGAGGCCUUCGGGUUGUAAACCGCUUUUGUUUGGGAGCAAAGCCUUCGGGGGUGAGUGUACCUUUCCAAUAGCCACCGGGUAACUAC